Molecule: ribosomal RNA, 253 nt
Filed under: uncultured bacterium
Lineage: Bacteria
Description: partial 16S ribosomal RNA
Rfam family: Bacterial small subunit ribosomal RNA
Source: RNAcentral
UACGUAGGUGACAAGCGUUGUCCGGAUUUACUGGGCGUAAAGAGCGCGCAGGCGGUCGAUCAAGUCGAGUGUGAAAGCCCCCGGCUCAACUGGGGAGGGUCAUUCGAUACUGAUCGACUCGAAGGCAGGAGAGGGUAGUGGAAUUCCCGGUGUAGUGGUGAAAUGCGUAGAUAUCAGGAGGAACACCGGUGGCGAAGGCGGUUCUCUGGGCCUUACCUGACGCUGAGGAGCGAAAGCGUGGGGAGCGAACAGG